CAGUAGCCGCGGGAAUACGUAGGGUGCGAGCGUUAAUCGGAAUUACUGGGCGUAAAGCGUGCGCAGGCGGUUGUGUAAGACAGGUGUGAAAUCCCCGGGCUUAACCUGGGAACUGCGCUUGUGACUGCACAGCUAGAGUAUGGCAGAGGGGGGUGGAAUUCCACGUGUAGCAGUGAAAUGCGUAGAGAUGUGGAGGAACACCGAUAGCGAAGGCAGCCCCCUGGGCCAAUACUGACGCUCAUGCACGAAAGCGUGGGGAGCAAACAGGAUUAGAUACCCCCGUAGUCCCUGUCUCUUAUAC
RNAcentral lists this ribosomal RNA (301 nucleotides) under uncultured bacterium. RNAcentral's name for it is "partial 16S ribosomal RNA". It matches the Rfam family "Bacterial small subunit ribosomal RNA", at positions 509 to 807 of the family's 1533-position model. The record is from RNAcentral.